AUCGCUUCUCGGCCUUUUGGCUAAAAUCAAGUGUAAAACUUAGAAAUCCACUUUACUCCAUUUAUAAGAAUUCUGAUUCUGAAGUUUACUUUUCAGAAUUAAUUUAUAUAACCACACUGAGCAGUGAUUUAUAUUCUCACCACU
Molecule: small nuclear RNA, 144 nt
Organism: Heterocephalus glaber (naked mole-rat)
Lineage: Eukaryota; Metazoa; Chordata; Mammalia; Rodentia; Bathyergidae
Gene: U2
Rfam family: U2 spliceosomal RNA
About the family: U2 is a small nuclear RNA (snRNA) component of the spliceosome (involved in pre-mRNA splicing).
Source: Ensembl